Physeter macrocephalus (sperm whale) is the source of this 3362-nucleotide long non-coding RNA. RefSeq lists it as uncharacterized. The record is from RefSeq and is a predicted model, not a curated record. The transcript is spliced from 3 exons. Lineage: Eukaryota; Metazoa; Chordata; Mammalia; Artiodactyla; Physeteridae.
AUGAAAACAAAGCCCGCCUGUGAGGGGCGCUACAGGAGCAGAACCUUGGGACGCCCACCCACACUCGCAGCACCCGGAUCGCGCUGGGCCUGGCUUUGGGGGUGGAGCUUCCCCGCCAUCCUGUGACGCCAGCCCUGCCCCCGGCCGCACCCUAGGAACAGAGGGAGGCGGGGUCCUCGCCAGCUCCUGCUCUGGACGAUGGAAGGGGACGGAGUGACCCACUGGGACGAGCCUGGGUCCCGGAAUCACCACCUGGAGGCCCUGCUGAACACCCACCUGAGCUGUUACAUUAUGAAAAUAAUGCACCUUUGCAGAAUGAAACCUGCGCAGUGGAGAAGGGAAUUAGAGAAAAAGAAAUAUCGCUCAGAGCACAGAACUGGGAGAGGCCCUGGGACCAGUGCUGCCUCUUUCUCAUCUUUUCUCCGUCGCCUGAGUGGUGAUUUCAACAUCUGAAUGCCAGGGUGAGGAAGUGGGGGUGAUGACAUAAGGAUAACGGAAUAUGUGGUUGUGACUAAGUUACUCGACGGAAGGACCGUGAAAACGUGAGGGCAGCUCACACACGACUGAGAACCGAGCGUGAAAGCGGGUCCCUUGCAGCUCACAGACAAGCCUCUACAGCGGGAGAUAAGCCCCAAUGUGACAAUCAGGUGUCUGAACCUUCAGCUGUUAGGCCAAAGUCACGGUCCUGCUUGGGAAAACCUGGGAGCCUGAUGGGUGGAGUCAGGGCAGCUGGAUGGACACCCCCAGGACGCUGAAUUCCAGGCUGCCCUGAACUUUGUGAGCUUGCAGGAGCAGCCAUUCUCUCUGUUAGGAGCUGUGUCCUUUCCUGGCUUCCGAGCCUAUAACAAGCAUUAAAUCACAGCAACACCCAGCCUGGAACAUGCAGGACCUUAUAAAGGAAGAGGGAGAGACAGAGACAGAGACAGACAGAUGGAGAGAACAUGAGUUCCAAAUAUCAGAAAUGAGAGAGGCGACAACCACAGAUUCUACAGAUAUUAAAAGAAUAAGGAGCGGGCUUCCCUGGUGGCGCAGUGGUUGAGAAUCUGCCUGCUAAUGCAGGGGACACGGGUUCGAGCCCUGGUCUGGGAGGAUCCCACGUGCCGCGGAGCAACUGGGCCCGUGAGCUGCAGCUACUGAGCUUGCGCGUCUGGAGCCUGUGCUCUGUAACAAGAGAGGCCGCGAUAGUGAGAGACCCGCGCACCGCUAUGAAGAGUGGCCCCCGCUUGCCACAACUGGAGAAAGCCCUCUCACAGAAACGAAGACCCAACACAGCAAAAAUAAAUAAAUUAAUUAAUAAAACUCCUACCCCCAACAUCUUCUUUAAAAAAAAAAAAGAAUAAGGAGGGCAUAUUAGAAACAACUUUAUGCCAAUAGAUUUAAUGACCUAGAUGAAAUGGGUAAAUACUGGAGACAAGCGGAAGCUGAACCGGAAAAUGUUUACAAUGGCAUCAAAAAGUAUGAAAGCCUUUGGGGUAAAUCUGAUGAAAGAUGGAAAAGCCCUAUUCAUGGAAAAUGGCAAAAUAUUGCUGGGAGGAAUGAAAGAAGAGUUAAAUAAAUGGAGAGAUCUCACGUUUUCACAGGUCCCAAGAUUCAGUGAUGUUACGAUGUCAUUUCUCCUCAAACUGAUCUCUAGCUUCAGUGCAACCCCAAUCCCAAAUGCAGCCGUCCUCACAGCAGAAAUGGACAAGGGGACUCUAAGGUUCAUACGAAAAUACAAAGGUUCUAGAAAAGUCAGACGUCUCUGAAAAAAGAGACAGCAGCUGGAGAACUAACAGUCCUCAAGAGCAGAGUUCUUAGUGUGGUGCUGGCAGAAAGACAGACAAAGAGACCAGUGGAACAGUGAGCCCGGGAGUGAGUCCACACAGGUAUGUACCAUUUGUUUAUUUUUUAAUUUUUUGAAGGUGCAGAACUCUUGAUUUUUUUUAAUUGAGGUAUAGAUUAGAUUAUGUACCAUUUAUUUCUGACCUUGGUGCACAGUGAAAAGAGGAUAGACUUUUCAACAAACAGAUGCUGGAAUAAUUGUGUACCUUCUAGAAACGAACCCACUGCAAGCCCUACCUCACACCAUACACAAAAUUUAACUCAAAAUGGAUCAUAGACAUGAAUGUAAAACCUAAAACGAUAAGAUUUCCAGAAGGAAACAUGAGAGAAAAUCUUUGUGAUGUUAGGCAAAGAUUUCUUAGAUAUGAGAGCAGAAUUACAAUCCACAAGAGAACUAACGGAUAAACUGGCCUUUAUCAAAAUGAAAAACUUCUGUCCCGUGAAAGAUACUGUUGGGACUUCCCUGGCAGUCCUGUGGUUAAGACUUCGCCUUCCAAUGCAGGGGCUGCAGGUUCGACCCCUGGUCGGGGAACUAAGAUCCCACUUGUCUCGGGGCCAAAAAACCAAAACACAAAAUAAAAGCAGUACUGUAACAAAUUCAAUAAAGACUCCAAAAAUGGUCCACAUCAAACAAAAAAGUCUAUGAAAAAAAAAAGAAAGAUACUGUUGAGAGACUGAACAGACAGCCUCAUGCAAAAAAAAUGAAUCAGACCACUGUCUUACAGCCUUCACAAAAGUGCACUCAAAGUGGACUAAAGACUUGAAUGUACAACCCGAAACCAUAAUGUCUAGAAGAAAACAUAGGCUCCUUGACGUUGUUCUUGGCAAUGAUUUUUUGGAUCUGAUACCAAAAGCAAAGACAACAGAGGCAAAAAUAAACAAGUGGGACCACAUCAAACUGAAACCUUCUUCACAGCCAAGGAAAUGAGCAGUGAAUGAAAAGACAACCUAGGGAAUGGGGGAAAAUAUUUGCAAAUCAUAUAUCUGAUGAGGGGUUCAUAGCCAAAAUACAUAAAGAACUCAUACGACUCAAUAGAAAAACAGAAAACAAACAAACAAAAAAACCCCAAACAAUCUGAUUAAAAAAUGGGCAGAGGACCUCAAUAGACAUUUUUCCAAAGAAGAUACACAGAUGGCCAAAAGGUACAUGAAAAGAUGCUCAACAUCACUAAUCAUCAGGGAAAUGCAAAUCAAAACCACAAUGAGAUACCACCUCACAGCUGUCAGAAUGGCUUUCGUCCAAAAGACAACAAAUAACAAGUGUUGGUGAGGACGUGGAGAAAAGGACACAAGAAGAGAAGAGACUGGUAAUUGCCCCAGGAUGGGGAUGAGGGGUGGGAGAAAUGGGUGAAGGGGGUCAAAAAGUACAGACUUCCAGUCAUAAAAUAAUUAAGUCCUGGGGAUGUAAUAUACAGCAUGGGGACUAUAGUUAAUAACACUGUAGUGCAUAUUUGCAAGUUGCUAAGAGAGUGGAUCUUAAGAGAUCCCAUCAUAAGAAAAACAAUGGUAACUGUGUGUGGUGAUCAAUGUUCACUAGACUC